RNAcentral lists this long non-coding RNA (427 nucleotides) under Mus musculus (house mouse). RNAcentral's name for it is "long non-coding RNA chr9:120384910-120385337". The record is from RNAcentral. Lineage: Eukaryota; Metazoa; Chordata; Mammalia; Rodentia; Muridae.
AUGUAUGCCUGCUCCAAGUUCUUCUCUACCCACUCCCUGAUCAGGAGCACCUCUCAGCUGCCGAGUCACUGCUGAGUCGUCUGCAGUGGAGCUGAAGCGACCACAGAUGUCAACAGAUGAGAGUCUCAGCCGCUUGGUGGUCACACGGCCUCUGACCUCACUUAUCCCUAGCCACAGCUUCCAAAUCAACGCCAUUUCAAGGGGCAUCCACACAGCCGCCAAGUUCAUUGGGGCUGGGGCUGUUAUAGUUGGGGUGGCUGGCUCUGGGGUUGGGAUUGGGACUGUUUGGGGGGAUCCUCGUCAUUGUCUAUGCCAGGAAGCCUUCUCUGAAGCAACAACUCUUCUAUGCGAUUCUGGGCUCUGCCCUCUCAGAGGCCGUGGGGCUCUUUGCCUAAUGGUGGCCUUUCUCAUCCUCUGCGCCAUAUGA